Molecule: unclassified non-coding RNA, 433 nt
Filed under: Hevea brasiliensis (rubber tree)
Lineage: Eukaryota; Viridiplantae; Streptophyta; Magnoliopsida; Malpighiales; Euphorbiaceae
Source: RNAcentral
CGGUUACAUCAUAGUACAGGUACACAAUCAACAAGGCAUGCAGUGCUCCAUCCACAAUUACAUCCCAAUACACCACCACCAUUCACAGCCUACUCCGAUCCCAAAAAAGAGAGGUAAGUCGCGUCGACGAACAGUCUUUUCAUCUUCCUCCAUUGGCAGCCAUUGCUAACACUCCAACACCUGAAGAACUCCUCAUUUGGGGGUGAAGGCCUGGAAGAUGGUGGCGUGGCCGGGGUCGGCGAGAUGGGCGAAGAGGUUGUCGAUGGGGCCGGUGCCGGUGUACUCUGCCUGGAACCAAGCUCCCAUGACGGCGAGCAUGGCGAGCCGCCCGUUCUUGAUCUCCUUGGUGCGCAGCUCCUUGAUCUUCUCCGGCGAGCCGGUGCCCCAGCCGAGCGGGUCAAACCACAGACCACCAGGGUACCCGACGUCGGUG